This 255-nucleotide ribosomal RNA is filed under the name Draconarius tibetensis. RNAcentral's name for it is "partial 12S ribosomal RNA". Lineage: Eukaryota; Metazoa; Arthropoda; Arachnida; Araneae; Agelenidae. The record is from RNAcentral.
AUCGAUAAUUCACGUUAANUUUUACUUUAAUCUAAAAUCUAUAUACCGCCAUCUCAAGAAUUAAUUAAAAUAUAUUUUUCAAAAAAACAAAUAAAAAGUUAGGUCAAGGUGUAAUUAACAUUAAAGAAUGAGAUGAAUUACACUAAAUAUUAUUUAAAGAUUAUAUAUAAAUAUAUCUAUAUAAAUAAGGAUUUAAAAGUAAUAUUAAAACAAUAUUAUAAUAUGAUUUAGAAAAAAAAUGUGCACACAUCGCCC